GAUGAACGCUGGCGGCGUGCCUAAUACAUGCCAGUCGAGCGAACAGACGAGGAGCUUGCUCCUCUGACGUUAGCGGCGGACGGGUGUGUAACACGUGGAUAACCUACCUAUAAGACUGGGAUAACUUCGGGAAACCGGAGCUAAUACCGGAGAAUAUAUUGAACCGCAUGGUUCAAUAGUGAAAGACGGUUUUGCUGUCACUUAUAGAUGGAUCCGCGCCGCAUUAGCUAGUUGGUAAGGUAACGGCUUACCAAGGCAACGAUGCGUAGCCGACCUGAGAGGGGGGUCGGCCACCCUGGAACUGAGACACGGUCCAGACUCCUACGGGAGGCAGCAGUAGGGAAUGUUCCGCAAUGGGCGAAAGCCUGACGGAGCAACGCCGCGUGAGUGAUGAAGGUCUUCGGAUCGUAAAACUCUGUUAUUAGGGAAGAACAAAUGUGUAAGUAACUAUGCACGUCUUGACGGUACCUAAUCAGAAAGCCACGGCUAACUACGUG
This 497-nucleotide ribosomal RNA is filed under the name uncultured bacterium. RNAcentral's name for it is "partial 16S ribosomal RNA". It matches the Rfam family "Bacterial small subunit ribosomal RNA", at positions 28 to 507 of the family's 1533-position model. The record is from RNAcentral.